GCAUCAGUAAUUCAAUGGUAGAAUGGCAGCUUCCCAAGCUGCUCACACGGGUUCGAUUCCCGCCUGGUGCUCCA
RNAcentral lists this transfer RNA (74 nucleotides) under Bacilli bacterium. RNAcentral's name for it is "tRNA-Gly". It matches the Rfam family "tRNA". Rfam says of the family: Transfer RNA (tRNA) molecules are approximately 80 nucleotides in length. Their secondary structure includes four short double-helical elements and three loops (D, anti-codon, and T loops). The record is from RNAcentral. Lineage: Bacteria; Bacillati; Bacillota; Bacilli. RNAcentral also lists the same sequence under 2 other names.